RNAcentral lists this ribosomal RNA (253 nucleotides) under uncultured bacterium. RNAcentral describes it as "partial 16S ribosomal RNA". It matches the Rfam family "Bacterial small subunit ribosomal RNA", at positions 524 to 776 of the family's 1533-position model. The record is from RNAcentral.
UACGGAGGGUGCAAGCGUUAAUCGGAAUUACUGGGCGUAAAGCGCACGCAGGUGGCUGAGCGAGUCGAUUGUGAAAGCCCUGGGCUUAACCUGGGAAUUGCAGUCGAUACUACUCGGCUAGAGUAUGGGAGAGGGCAGUGGAAUUCCCGGUGUAGCGGUGAAAUGCGUAGAUAUCGGGAGGAACAUCAGUGGCGAAGGCGGCUGCCUGGCCCAAUACUGACGAUCAGGUGCGAAAGCGUGGGGAGCAAACAGG